This 382-nucleotide ribosomal RNA is filed under the name Streptomyces rubellomurinus subsp. indigoferus. RNAcentral describes it as "bacterial LSU rRNA". It matches the Rfam family "Bacterial large subunit ribosomal RNA", at positions 1372 to 1657 of the family's 2925-position model. Lineage: Bacteria; Bacillati; Actinomycetota; Actinomycetes; Kitasatosporales; Streptomycetaceae. The record is from RNAcentral.
GCCCAGGGUAAGUCGGGACCUAAGGCGAGGCCGACAGGCGUAGUCGAUGGACAACGGGUUGAUAUUCCCGUACCCGCUUUGAAGCGCCAACGCUGAACCUUCUGAUGCUAAGCCCGUGAAGCCGUCCCGGAGCCUUCGGGCAAAGGGAAGUGGUGGAGCCGGUGACCCAACGGGGUAGUAGGUGAGCGAUGGGGUGACGCAGGAAGGUAGUCCAGCCCGGGCGGUGGUUGUCCCGGGGUAAGGGUGUAGGACGUGGGGUAGGCAAAUCCGCCUCACAUAUAGUCUGAGACCUGAUGCCGAGCCGAUUGUGGUGAAGUGGAUGAUCCUAUGCUGUCGAGAAAAGCCUCUAGCGAGUUUCAUGGCGGCCCGUACCCCAAACCGA